Molecule: long non-coding RNA, 292 nt
Organism: Aricia agestis (brown argus)
Lineage: Eukaryota; Metazoa; Arthropoda; Insecta; Lepidoptera; Lycaenidae
Exons: 2
Source: RefSeq, a predicted model, not a curated record
AGGCGGACCACGCCCCCCACGCGCUCCACGCCCCAUCUACUGGGGCUAGCGCCGGAUCUGGAAGUUCUGUCCGCCGUGCGCCGGCUUGGGGUUGUCGCAGCGGCGCGUCCGACACUCGCACAUGUCGGGCUCUUCGCCGUACGCGCCGCCGCCCGUGCCGUCCUGCAUGCAGGGUGCCCACUCCGACCACGAUGACCAACCGCCGUCGACUGGAAUACAAAUAAAUAUUAUGUAGUAAUCUUAUCAUAGCUCUUAUAUUUUAAUAGUUUAUCGAAUAAAUACAUUUGAAUUA